RNAcentral lists this long non-coding RNA (298 nucleotides) under Sorghum bicolor (sorghum). Its description in RNAcentral is "long non-coding RNA (SBIC_LNC013113)". Lineage: Eukaryota; Viridiplantae; Streptophyta; Magnoliopsida; Poales; Poaceae. The record is from RNAcentral.
UGACAGUGUUGCCUUUGAAAUCAGUUUUUGUAUUAUAUAUCAUUGAAAAGGAUGUAGUAGUGCACACUGGAGGAAACUUCAUUCACGUGGAAAAUGUAUAACGGGAAAACCGUAUAUGAUAUAUAUACCCCCAAAAUAGCAAUUCCAUGCGACGAGUGCAAGCACCCAGCGACGAAACCCUUCUAACAGUAAAGUGUUCGUUGCCCUUGAUGGCUUGAUUCAAUUAUUUUUUUUAUCGUGUUCAUUGUAAUAGGAUUGUCACGUGUUCGGUAUUUGUACCCCUUUUCUUUGCUGAUUC